CAAGUCGAACGCGAAAGUUCCCUUCGGGGAGCGAGUAGAGUGGCGUCCGGGUGAGUAACACGUGGGUAAUCUACCUUCGGGUGGGGAAUAACAGUCGGAAACGACUGCUAAUACCGCAUAAUGCAGCGGCACCUUAUGGUGACAGUUGUUAAAGCGGGGGAUCGCAAGACCUCGCGCCUGAAGAGGAGCCCGCGGCGGAUUAGCUAGUUGGCAGGGUAACGGCCUACCAAGGCGACGAUCCGUAGCCGGCCUGAGAGGGCGGUCGGCCACACUGGCACUGACACACGGGCCAGACUCCUACGGGAGGCAGCAGUCGGGAAUUUUGGGCAAUGGGCGAAAGCCUGACCCAGCAACGCCGCGUGAAGGAUGAAGCUUUUCGGAGUGUAAACUUCAUAAGAAUGGGACGAAUAAGGAGGGGAUAAUACCCCCUUUGAUGACGGUACCAUUUGUAAGCUCCGGCUAACUCCGUGCCAGCAGCCGCGGUAAUACGGGGGGAGCAAGCGUUGUUCGGAUUUACUGGGCGUAAAGGGCGCGUAGGCGGCGUGACAAGUCACUUGUGAAAUCUCCGGGCUUAACCCGGAGCGGCCAAGUGAUACUGUCGUGCUAGAGUGCGGAAGGGGCUACUGGAAUUCUCGGUGUAGCGGUGAAAUGCGUAGAUAUCGAGAGGAACACCUGCGGCGAAGGCGGGUAGCUGGGCCGACACUGACGCUGAUGCGCGAAAGCCAGGGGAGCGAACGGGAUUAGAUACCCCGGUAGUCCUGGCCUUAAACGAUGGAUACUUGGUGUCCGAGGUUACAUAGUCCUCGGGUGCCGGCGCUAACGCAUUAAGUAUCCC
RNAcentral lists this ribosomal RNA (835 nucleotides) under uncultured Bacillota bacterium. RNAcentral's name for it is "bacterial SSU rRNA". It matches the Rfam family "Bacterial small subunit ribosomal RNA", at positions 58 to 870 of the family's 1533-position model. Lineage: Bacteria; Bacillati; Bacillota. The record is from RNAcentral.